UGAGUGUCCAGCUGCCGAAGUGGGAAAGGGAAACCCUCCUCUCCGGAACAGACACCCCCUGAGAAGUCUAUUUGUGGGAGAAGUUUCCGACUUUACCUGGAGCUGAGUCAGUCUGGAGAGCUGACUGAAAUACAGGGAUAGAGGAGGCAGCAGCAAGGCCCUGGGAGCUGAAUGGGUCCCCGGGCAGCCCAUUCCUGCCUGGCACCACAGGGAUCCAACGGGAGAGGAACAGAGGGUAAAACUACACGGAGAGAAGGAAAUCUCUAGCUGAACUUUGUAACAAUUCGAACAGCGUGAGAAGUCUCCUGGCCAGAACUCGGGGGAGGACACAAAUCUCCUGCACAGUUAAUAUCCAGAGUCACACGUGGAGAGGAAGCAUCACAAUGAGACCAUACAACCAUAUAAUCUGUUCAAGUCCUAGAAGGUGUUGGCAGAGCUGCAGG
This 443-nucleotide long non-coding RNA is filed under the name Homo sapiens (human). RNAcentral's name for it is "non-protein coding lnc-MYOM2-4:1". The record is from RNAcentral. Lineage: Eukaryota; Metazoa; Chordata; Mammalia; Primates; Hominidae.